GCCAAACAGCUAGCCUGAACAUAACGAUAACCAAAAAAUAUAAAUAAGAACCCCAUCUCUAGAUACUAAAACAUUUUGCCUUCCUAGUAUAGGUG
This 95-nucleotide ribosomal RNA is filed under the name Gymnothorax meleagris (turkey moray). RNAcentral describes it as "partial 16S rRNA". Lineage: Eukaryota; Metazoa; Chordata; Actinopteri; Anguilliformes; Muraenidae. The record is from RNAcentral.